AUGGGGGAAAAGCCUUCCCCACACACUAUGUAGAUGUCACAACUGAUCAAACCAAUCUAUGAGCCCUAUGUAAAUCAGACACCGCCUCCCCAAACUGUAUUAUAAAAUGGCGCAUUAGCACCAACCGUUACUUUUUUCUGCUAGGAGACCCUCUUUGGAGUUUUCUCAACAUGAGGAAGCUUUUUCUCUCUCUUUUCUUCUUUUUCUCUCUCUUUUCUUCUUUUUCUCUCUCUUUUCUUCUUUUUCUGUUAAACGUUCUCCUCCAAAACCCACUCCUCAUGUGUGUCCGUGUCCUGAAUUCCUUCCGCACUGAGACCAAGAGCCAGGAUUAAAAACAAAUAACAGAGGCACUGAGAGAGACAAUUUACAGAGCCAGUUGAAGAUGAUCCCUGCAAAGGCUACUCCAGACUUUCUAAGAUGGAAAUCAAAAUAGAUUGUGGCAUUCAACUGAGAUCACUGGGGAAAUACAAGGAAAUACCAUGGACUCUGAUUACAACUUCUAUGAGGACAUAGGACCAAUUCUCCUGACUUCAGAGAAAGAUGUGAAACCUGUGGAUACAAAGGGCUGAUUGUACUUCUUUUAACCUGAGUGCAUACAAAAAUGCUGUUUUAAGCACUUUCUAAGAACAAGCAGAGAUCCCUGGAACAAAAAGAAUUACAAAGCAUAAAAGCUUUCAGCCGAAAAGAGGAACGGAAAAGAUGCCAACUUGUAUGGAGAUGUGGAAGUGAGAAAACCUUUGAUCAGUACUUCAUUAGAGUAUUCAAGAGGAAGAAACUUGGAAGCUGAUGGAAAAAUCAAGCAGCCUAGCAUAAUCGUAAGCUUUACAUGCUCUUUUCAAAGGGUUUAUUUAUUUAUUGAAUUUUUUUUCAAUUCUCUUGUUUGUUAAUUUCCAUUUUGAUUCUAAGUCUAUUGGUCAAUCAGUGCUGAAAAUAAAAUGGGACCAUGUGACCUGAGAGUAUUCUGCCUUAUGAGUAUAUGGGUACUGUAUGACAAAGUCAGGCUUAAUGGUGAGGGUGAAGGGAUGAGAGAAUUGUAGGUGAAGGAGAAGAACACAGGAGUCGAACACUGACAAUGAUAUCAAAUCACUACUCGGAAAUUAUUUUGCUGGAAUAUAGUGAGAGUGAGUAUCCAAAACCCUGUGGAUUAGGUAUUAUACCAGCCUCUACCCUCUGGCCUUCAAGGGUUUCCAUAAUUUUUACUAUAAUAGCCUGAGCUAUCACUCCAUUUCUGACAAAAUUAAAGAUUGCUUAGUCAAACUAACUCUAAGGAAAGAUAAA
Non-coding RNA from Macaca mulatta (Rhesus monkey), 1278 nucleotides. Lineage: Eukaryota; Metazoa; Chordata; Mammalia; Primates; Cercopithecidae. The record is from RefSeq and is a predicted model, not a curated record.